AAAAGGAUUAGUUGGAAAAUUGCAACCAAGUAAUUCAGCUUAUGCCAUAGUUUUUUUCGGUGGUCAUGGGAUUUUUCUUCACUCAUUCUUGGCUGUAAUUUCAUUUUGUGUUGUAUAUUUCUAGGAAACCUUUUGGGUUUAGGGGAUUUGUGCUCUAAUCUUGAAAAUAUGAGUGAAACUUUGUAAGCAGGGAAGGCUGAUUGAAAUGUAAUUAGAUGCAUG
RNAcentral lists this unclassified non-coding RNA (222 nucleotides) under Hevea brasiliensis (rubber tree). Lineage: Eukaryota; Viridiplantae; Streptophyta; Magnoliopsida; Malpighiales; Euphorbiaceae. The record is from RNAcentral.